Long non-coding RNA from Pungitius pungitius (ninespine stickleback), 1085 nucleotides. RefSeq lists it as uncharacterized. The transcript has 5 exons. Lineage: Eukaryota; Metazoa; Chordata; Actinopteri; Perciformes; Gasterosteidae. The record is from RefSeq and is a predicted model, not a curated record.
GAUGACGUCAUUCACAUGCAGCUGCGAUCGUAUCUUUCGCGCCGAAAGAUAACGGCUGGGACUAAGUAAAAAGUAGUAAAAAUGGAGACAUAGCGAAACGCUGAUGUCUCCAUUUUUACUUCUUUUUACUACUUGAAUGGACUGAGGGUGAUGAUAGUGGGGCGCAUAGUAUUUUGGCGAUUGACUGUGUCCGGAACUUUUCAGUUCAAGAUUUUUUUGCCUCGACUGAACAAAACGAGAAGCUGGUGGAAUGGCGAAACGGCCGCCAACCCUGGCCGGUUCACCCAGCCAAAUUGACGUGGCAAUAAAAAGGGAGGGUCUUCCAAAAACAAGCACCAGGAGGGUGAGAAGCAGGAGGAGGGUCAUGACAGACUUUCAAAGAACAAGGUUGUCGUGAAAAAGAAAAAUGUUUCUAAAUACGAGACAGGAGGAGGAGGAGAAAGUGGAUGAUGAGGCGCGUCAUGACACAAAGAACAAGGUGGGAAGCCAACCAGAGGGGACGGGGAGCAGCUGGUUGCCCUGGACAAAAUUAAAAAGGCAGCCAUUAUUGGUGAGUAAAUGCAUAAAGUGUUGAGAAGGGAAAACAAAACUUUUAAGACUUUAUAAGUUCACCACUUUAACCAUAGCCUACUUGUAUCAAUGUAUAUUAGGCAUCAAUGGAGACUGGAUAAGGUAGGGCACCCAUUAUUGUUACUGUAUCUGCUUAGCACCUAUAAUACUAAUUCAUUGCUUGCUCACUUUUUGAUCCCACCUUUCCUUUUCUAAAGCCACAUUUCUGGGGUAUUGCCCUCAAUGUGCUGUAAGAUGCUACAUUGAAGAAAUGGCCGGCAGCCAGCCGAGGGCAGAUAGGAACAGCUAUAAAUUCCAAGCUCGCAGAGAUGCGAAGAUCCAUGAAAUGUUUUUUUUUUGUUGUUGUCAUUUUUGUACAUUUUGAUAGUCCUUAAAUAAAUAAUGUAAAUUUCCACAUUUUGGGCUUUUAUUUUUGUUUCCUAGUUUGGAUUUUAAUAAUUUUACUUAUAGGUGGACAUAUGUGCAUAUAUGUACCUAUAUAGGUACAUUUAUGCAUGUAUAUAUAUGUGUACAUG